RNAcentral lists this ribosomal RNA (586 nucleotides) under Paraphaeosphaeria sp. Its description in RNAcentral is "partial large subunit ribosomal RNA". It matches the Rfam family "Eukaryotic large subunit ribosomal RNA", at positions 87 to 686 of the family's 3401-position model. Lineage: Eukaryota; Fungi; Ascomycota; Dothideomycetes; Pleosporales; Didymosphaeriaceae. The record is from RNAcentral.
CGGCGAGUGAAGCGGCAACAGCUCAAAUUUGAAAUCUGGCUCUCUUUGGGGGUCCGAGUUGUAAUUUGCAGAGGAUGCUUUGGCAUUGGCGGCGGUCUAAGUUCCUUGGAACAGGACAUCACAGAGGGUGAGAAUCCCGUACGUGGUCGCCUGCCUUUGCCGUGUAAAGCUCCUUCGACGAGUCGAGUUGUUUGGGAAUGCAGCUCUAAAUGGGAGGUAAAUUUCUUCUAAAGCUAAAUACUGGCCAGAGACCGAUAGCGCACAAGUAGAGUGAUCGAAAGAUGAAAAGUACUUUGGAAAGAGAGUCAAAAAGCACGUGAAAUUGUUGAAAGGGAAGCGCUUGCAGCCAGACUUGCCCGCAGUUGCUCACCUAGGCUUUCGCCUGGGGCACUCUUCUGCGGGCAGGCCAGCAUCAGUUUGGGCGGUUGGAUAAAGGCCUCUGUCACGUAUCAUCCUUCGGGAUGACCUUAUAGGGGAGGCGUAAUGCAACCAGCCCGGACUGAGGUCCGCGCAUCUGCUAGGAUGCUGGCGUAAUGGCUGUAAGCGGCCCGUCUUGAAACACGGACCAAGGAGUCUAACAUCUAUG